Long non-coding RNA from Hordeum vulgare subsp. vulgare (domesticated barley), 419 nucleotides. RefSeq lists it as uncharacterized. The record is from RefSeq and is a predicted model, not a curated record. Lineage: Eukaryota; Viridiplantae; Streptophyta; Magnoliopsida; Poales; Poaceae. The transcript is spliced from 2 exons.
CCCCCCCCCCCGCAUCAGGAUUCCAUACGGUGGGUGGAAACCAAGCCCCAACAAGACCUUGGAUGGCGAUGAACGCGGUAGAUGGUCGGGUGCGGCUGGAGCACCUGAGAGCUGCUGGGACAGAGGCAGGAGUUCAGUGCGGGUGCCAUUUUUCAUGGAGGAUAGGUAAAUGAUGCUUCGGGUCUACAAAGUAUAUAUUCAGAUUUCUGUACGCAUCUACAUGUUGAUGCCUUCUACUCGCAUGUAAAACUUUAUUGGGAAAAUUACCAAGUUUUGCGGACAUGUUUGAAGAACUGGGGGCAUGUUUAGUGUUGAAGAGAUGAUAGUUCUUCGGGGUAAAAAAUAAAAGCUGGGUGAACGGAAACUACAUGAUUAUUAUACGUUUUUGUGAACAUAUAACGAUUAUCAUACGUUUAACA